AGCCUGCCCACUGAUUUAGUUUAAAGGGCCGCGGUAUAUUGACCGUGCGAAGGUAGCAUAAUCAUUAGUCUUUUAAUUGAAGGCUUGUAUGAAUGGUUGGACAAAAAGUAAGCUGUCUCAAUUAUAAUAAUUGAAUUUAACUUUUAAGUGAAAAGGCUUAAAUAAAUUAAGGGGACGAUAAGACCCUAUAAAGCUUGACAAUAAUUUAAUUAUACUAUCAAUUGUUAGUAUAACUUGGUUUUAAUUAAUAUUUGUUGCGUUGGGGCGACGAGAAUAUAAUAGGUAACUGUUCUUAAAUAUUUAAUAACAAAUAUAAUUGGAAAUUAGUAUGAUCCUCUAUUAGCGAUUAAAAGAUUAAGUUACUUUAGGGAUAACAGCGUAAUCUUCUUUGAGAGUCCCUAUCGACAAGAAGGUUUGCGACCUCGAUGUUGAAUUAAGGUAUCCUUAUAAUGCAGCAGUUAUAAAGG
RNAcentral lists this ribosomal RNA (467 nucleotides) under Penaeus indicus. RNAcentral's name for it is "partial 16S ribosomal RNA". It matches the Rfam family "Bacterial large subunit ribosomal RNA", at positions 1856 to 2570 of the family's 2925-position model. The record is from RNAcentral. Lineage: Eukaryota; Metazoa; Arthropoda; Malacostraca; Decapoda; Penaeidae.